Molecule: ribosomal RNA, 449 nt
Filed under: uncultured bacterium
Lineage: Bacteria
Description: partial 16S ribosomal RNA
Rfam family: Bacterial small subunit ribosomal RNA
Source: RNAcentral
UCCCCAGACUCCUACGGGAGGCAGCAGUGGGGAAUAUUGCACAAUGGGGGGAACCCUGAUGCAGCGACGCCGCGUGGGUGAAGAAGUCAUUCGUGACGUAAAGCCCUAUCAGCAGGGAAGAAAAUGACGGUACCUGACUAAGAAGCCCCGGCUAACUACGUGCCAGCAGCCGCGGUAAUACGUAGGGGGCAAGCGUUAUCCGGAUUUACUGGGUGUAAAGGGAGCGUAGACGGCGGCGCAAGUCCGGAGUGAAAGCCCACGGCCCAACCGUGGGACUGCUCUGGAAACUGUGCGGCUUGAGUGCGGGAGGGGCAGGCGGAAUUCCUAGUGUAGCGGUGAAAUGCGUAGAUAUUAGGAGGAACACCGGCGGCGAAGGCAGCAUGCCGGCUUCCGACUGACGCUGAAGCACGAAAGCGUGGGGAUCGAACAGGAUUAGAUACCCGCGUAGC